UACGGAGGGUGCAAGCGUUAAUCGGAAUUACUGGGCGUAAAGGGUGCGUAGGCGGUUUAUUAAGUUACUUGUGAAAUUCCUGGGCUUAACCUAGGGUGGUCGAGUGAUACUGAUAGACUGGAGUAUGGGAGAGGGCAUUGGAAUUUCCGGUGUAGCGGUGAAAUGCGUAGAUAUCGGAAGGAACACCAGUGGCGAAGGCGGAUGCCUGGCCCAAUACUGACGCUGAGGCACGAAAGCGUGGGUAGCGAAC
Molecule: ribosomal RNA, 250 nt
Filed under: uncultured bacterium
Lineage: Bacteria
Description: partial 16S ribosomal RNA
Rfam family: Bacterial small subunit ribosomal RNA
Source: RNAcentral